AAGUCGUAACAAGGUUUCCGUAGGUGAACCUGCGGAAGGAUCAUUAGCGUAAGGAGAGGGCGCGCGCACGUGCGCCCUCACUACACACUGUGUGAACGAGAACGUGUCUGCGGCUGGAGGCGCGUGCACGGGGGGAGGUUGUGUGAGCCGCCGAGCGCGGCUUGCGCGCUUUGCCCCGCGUCGCGCCGCCAGCAUGCAUCUCGAAACCGUUGACAAUCUAACCCACCAUAUAUAUAUAACUUGUAACCAAACACACAACUUUUAACAAUGGAUCUCUAGGCUCCU
This 285-nucleotide unclassified non-coding RNA is filed under the name fungal sp. RNAcentral describes it as "partial internal transcribed spacer region". The stretch from base 1 to 46 matches the Rfam family "Eukaryotic small subunit ribosomal RNA", at positions 1786 to 1831 of the family's 1831-position model. Lineage: Eukaryota; Fungi. The record is from RNAcentral.